This 1910-nucleotide small RNA is filed under the name Rattus norvegicus (Norway rat). Its description in RNAcentral is "uncharacterized LOC108351687". The record is from RNAcentral. Lineage: Eukaryota; Metazoa; Chordata; Mammalia; Rodentia; Muridae.
UCCAAUUUAGGGCUUUGCAGGGGCUCCCUCCAGGGCUCUCUCAAUGGAUUUAUAUCACAGCCAGAUAGCAUCUUCGAAAGCUCAUCUGAGCUGGAAAAUAGAGAAACAUCCUUCUCCAUUGUCAAGUGACAAGCGAUGGUACCCAGGCUGCUGACUCUUCAAUCCUGCAAAUCUUGAAACAAAGACUUCCCUGUCCUCUCGGCUUGUCACCUGUAGGCAUGAAGAUGUCAGCUCCCUGGCCAACCACCAGGUGCCGGGACCUCAGGAGGUUUCCAGAAUGAAGGAAUCUGUGUCUAUGUCUGCUGUCCAGGCCUGCAGCGAAGUGGUGACCAGUGGAGAGGCCAGGUGGUGUAGGGGCUGCACCCAGCUUGCUGCUCGGUAUAAAAUGGAAAUUUGGAGCUGUUUGCAGGUCUUCUCACCCCCACACUGAGAAGGGAGCAGGCAGACUUUGCGCCUGAAGACAAGAACACAGUGCUGGGUAACACAAGCAGCUGGUUCUUAUGUAAAUAUUGACGGAGUUGCUACCCCGGUCCUGGCAGUGGGUGGGAGCCCUUUGACGGUAAGAGAAUGCACCAUUGUGGUCCAUUGUGAGGUGUGGGGUGAGUAGGACACAGGGCUAAGUCUGAGCACGACAGAACUGUGGGCUGAACAGGAUCACCAUGUGGGCCUCCACUUGCUCCUUACUCCAUAUCUACCUUCUGCAGAUCUCUCUGGCAUCCCUGGAGCGGGCCUACCUGUAUGGGAUCCACCUCAGCGGAUAGCCAGCAGCAUACCAGGUUCCUGCCCACACAGUGCUCCUGUUCCUAUGCUAGGUCUCCCUCCGGACCCUUGCUACAGAUCCUCUGCAGCUUGCAGCCCACUGGCUCCUUCCCAUUUUCCUGUCCAGCCCCUCCCCUCGUUCAUCUUCGGCUGGGUUCACUGCGCUGUUCAUUGCUCCUGGCAUUUCUGGCCUGCCCAGGAUGCUCUCAGCCUGGGAAUGCUCUGAGCUCUCUGCCACCAUUCUCAGCUCCAGGCUCAGGGCUCAGUCCCUGGAGAGAGGUCUAGACUCUGGCCAUGGCCUCUCCAUGUCACCAGCAGCAGGUGGGCUGGCCGUCACAUGGGCCAGUGGCCUGUGAUCCAUCUUCUCCUCACAACCCAGGUUUUCUCAGUCAAUGGUUUCCAUUUCCUCCAUGGAACUGCUAGGAUCAAAGGCUGCCCGGGAAGCUCGUUGACUGGCCAGGGGAUAAACAUGUGCACUGGAGGCCAACCCAGGGCCUGAAGGACAACCCACUACGGGGUUGGGGGGGGCAACAUGGCAGUGUGUUGGAUCAGGACUAGGUGGGUGGGAAGGGCAAAACACCUGCAGGCUGUGCUGUGGUCACUUUUGCAUGGCUGCCACAGUCCAAUGUAGGAUGAGCUACUAUGUCAUAACCAUCAGGUAUAGCACCUGCACCUGUCUCCUUCCCUCCCUGCCCCCUACCAUCCCACCAGCUUGCCCAUCAGACAGACACCUGACAGGCCCUGUACUGGGCACACAAGGCUAGACUUCCAAAGAGUAUGCCCUGCCCAAAGCAGAGAGUUGCCGAGCUAGGCAGUAGGGCCUAGAUUAUGGGACCAGCCACAUUUAGGUCGUCCCCAAGUCUUUGCUCUUGUUUUUCAAGUGACUCAUUGGGGAAAUUUUAGAUGAUUUGGUCACUGAAGUACAAAGUAGAAAAUGAGGUUUGCAGCUGUUGGGCCUGUUGGUUUUUCCAUUUCCUUUCUAUUUGCCCCAUCAGGCAGUUGGCUCAGGGAGGGAACACCUGGAUGGGCUAGUCCUGGCAACCCCGGAUGAAGAACAUCACUGGUGGUGAGUGAUCUGUGGUGCCAACAGCAGGAGGGGAAAAAGAAGGAGGAGGAGGAGUAGGAAGGGGAGGAGGAGGAGGAAAAGGAGG